AGGGAAAUCAACAUGCAAGUAUUGUGAAAGAGAAAAGAAAGCAGAAACUGGAUGGCUCAAGUGAAUCGUGUACUCGAACUCAGGUAGCUUUUGCUGACUGGAGCACUUAUGAUGCCUUCACUAAAGUGAAUCGGAUGCACGAGUCAUUCGUCACCGAGUGGUGAAUGUUAGUUUUGUCGAGUCGGUGAUGAAGACGUGGACAGGAGAGUCGGUUUGAAGCAAGGAUCUGUUGGUUUAUAUCAUUCAUACAAAUGUAGUUGUAUCACUUACACAAUGAAUUGUAUUUAUCUGGUUUUCUUAUUUACUUUAGCUAGCUAUAAGUGAGCGAGUUAACACAGAGUCAGAUCCUACAUGUAACAUAAUUAAGUUAGCGUGUAUUCAUUGAUACAUGUUAAGAUUUUCAGUACCUGUUCACAUGAAUAUGUCGAUGGAGUCUACAGUGGAACCAUUCGCUAUUGUGUGUUUCAAUAAGACGUGAAUGAUUGGUGCACACCUAGCCAGUGCAAUACGUCACCUUCACAAUUUGAUGUUUUAACUCUCAAGAGACGCCAUUGUACUCCUCCCGAGUGCAUAUGACCAAUGGGGUUGCAGCAGAAGCAGACUGGGCCACCCGGUAAGCAGCAGGAUAGCCGCCCUGCAGAAGGAAGAGGUGGCGUCAGGUGACAGGAAGUGACAUGCAGAUGAAAGAUGAACAGGCGCCAGACUACUCACGUAGACGUCUGCCCCGUAGAGGCCAUCCUGGUACACCACGCUGAUGGGAGAAGCAGGGAAGAAUAUUUAGCAGGUUUUCCACCAAGCGGGACCAGGACAGUCAGGGAUCAAAGUUUAGUUUUUCCCAAAGUUAGCGUCUCGGCUGGAGUUGCUGUGAUCUUUUACUGACACGUUCACGUUGUCUUCCAAAGGUCUUGUCCUGGUGGCGUGAGCAGAUGCACUCCACCCGCCGGCAUUCCUGACCAUCCCGACCAUCAGCGACUUAUCACGAUAAUUUCUACGUCCAGGAUCUUCCCAAAUUGCUGGAAGAAGGAGCAGACGUGGUUACACGGAUCUCCUGAGGAUGAAAAGCGGGCGGAGUGCUCCUCACCCCAAACAUCUGCCUGAGGUCCGGGUCUCGGAAGCGGAAGGGGAUGUUUGACACGUGGAGACGCUUGGGCUGGACCUUGGCCGACCCCUCAUCGUCACUCGCGCUCCCCGCGCCGCCGCCGGACGUCGCCGAGGCGCUCAGAGCCUGGGGGUCGGAGGUCACAGGGGCUAAGGCUUCCUCCUGGAGGUCGGAGACAGGCAAAGGAAAAACGGGAAGCAGCAAGGUGGGAAAGAAAAGGUGGAGAGGAUGAGAGGACGGAAACGUGAGCACAGCCCCUCACAUUUGGAUAGACUUUAGAGUAGUCAGUGUACAGCCGGUGUAGCGGCAUAGAUGCCACGUUAUUGUCAAUGCUGUAGCUGUCAGUCAACAUGUCGGAUCGUGGACUUGCUGUCAAUAUUUAGUCUGUGCCCUGCCUGAGGAUGGAACCGAAUAGAACUACACAAACAUAGAAUAUCCAUACAAUGAACUGUAAAACACAUACAGUAGUCCCUCCUGUAUGGCGCUAGUACUUCCACUUAUACUCCUACUGCACAAUGUACUACAUAAUAAGAGGCAAAUAACACAAAACCUUUUUAUCAUGAUUAGAGCCGUCUGGACAUGAAAUAACACCCCUAUAUUCAGUCACCUUUAUACUCCUGUAGCAUAAUAUUGUACAAAAGACAAAAUAUGACAUAGAAACCACCUUCAAAAUACACUUUUUAUUACUAGAGCCCUCUAGACAUGAAAUAACACCCCUAUGGUCACCUUUACACUCAUAUUAAACCAAUAUAGUAGAUAUGAUAAAAGAAAAUAAGAUAUAGAAAACCUGUUUACAACUUCUAAAUCCAUCUUUUAUCAUUAUUAGAGCCCUGUGGACAUGAAAUAACACCCCUAUGGUCACAUUUACAUUCCUAUUAACCUAUAUAGUAGACAUAAGCAGAGAAAAUAAGACAUAGAAAACCUGUUUACAACUUCUAAAUCCACCUUUUAUCAUUAUUAGAGCCCUGUGGAUGUGAAAUAACACCCCUAUGGUCACCUUUACACUCCUAUUGCACAAUAUAGUAGACAUAGUAAGAGAAAUGAAGACAUAGAAAACCUGUUUACAACUUCUAAAUCCACCUUUUAUCAUUAUUAGAGCCCUGUGGAUGUGAAAUAACACCCCUAUGGUCACCUUUACACUCCUAUUAACCAAUAUAGUAGAUAUGAUAAAAGAAAAUAAGACAUAGAAAACCUGUUUACAACUUCUAAAUCCAUCUUUUAUCAUUAUUAGAGCCCUGUGGACAUGAAAUAACACCCCUAUGGUCACCUUUACAAAAGCUGUUUACAACUUCUAAAUCCCCUUUUUAUCAUUAUUAGAGCCCUGUAGACAUGACUUAACAGCCCUAUAGUCGUAUUGCACAAUACAGUAGAGGAUCUAGCGAGGGAUUACCGUAUGGCUUUCCAAUGUGGACACUGACUACUCUAAAGUGCAUUUAUAUGCUAUGCUGUUGUCCCGUGUGCAGAUGUUGUGUACGGGCAGGCGACGCUGUACACUGACGUCUAAGCACUUCCUGUGUGCGUUGAAGGCAACCACAUGACCUCGGACCCAUUCCCUGUCAGGCGGAUGUGAGGCGGCUGUGCUAGCAGGCCAGAUCAGGAACCGCUUGUGGACGAGACCAGAAGGUAAAAGCUCUACCAAGCAGGCUCCAUGUGUUGGUGUGGAGGUGCUCCAUGCACGACACAACAACUGAUAGAAACAUUCUCUUCACUUUCCCACAAUGCACCACGAUGCUAGUGAGUGUGUGUGUGUGUGUGUGUUAAAUGUUGAGCAGUGAGGGAGGGUGCAAAGAAAAAGUUCC
Molecule: non-coding RNA, 2898 nt
Organism: Doryrhamphus excisus (bluestripe pipefish)
Lineage: Eukaryota; Metazoa; Chordata; Actinopteri; Syngnathiformes; Syngnathidae
Source: RefSeq, a predicted model, not a curated record